GGAGGGUGCAAGCGUUAUUCGGAUUUAUUGGGCGUAAAGAGUGUGUAGGCGGCCGGUCAAGCCAGAUGUGAAAGCCCAGGGCUUAACCCUGAAAGUGCAUUUGGAACUGGUUGGCUUGAGUUCGGGAGAGGGAAGUGGAAUUCCGGGUGUAGAGGUGAAAUUCGUAGAUAUCCGGAGGAACACCGGUGGCGAAGGCGACUUCCUGGACCGAAACUGACGCUGAGACACGAAAGCGUGGGGAGCAAACAGGAUUAGAUACCCUGGUAGUCCACGCUGUAAACGAUGGGCGCUAGGUGUGGGGGUUUUUAAUCCCUCNNNNNNNNNNACKAACGCAUUAAGCGCCC
RNAcentral lists this ribosomal RNA (344 nucleotides) under uncultured bacterium. RNAcentral's name for it is "partial 16S ribosomal RNA". It matches the Rfam family "Bacterial small subunit ribosomal RNA", at positions 527 to 869 of the family's 1533-position model. The record is from RNAcentral.